GAUGAACGCUGGCGGCGUGCUUAACACAUGCAAGUCGAACGGGAAAUAUUUCAUUGAGACUUCGGUGGAUUUGAUCUAUUUCUAGUGGCGGACGGGUGAGUAACGCGUGGGUAACCUGCCUUAUACAGGGGGAUAACAGUCAGAAAUGGCUGCUAAUACCGCAUAAGCGCACAGAGCUGCAUGGCUCAGUGUGAAAAACUCCGGUGGUAUAAGAUGGACCCGCGUUGGAUUAGCUGGUUGGUGGGGUAACGGCCCACCAAGGCGACGAUCCAUAGCCGGCCUGAGAGGGUGAACGGCCACAUUGGGACUGAGACACGGCCCAGACUCCUACGGGAGGCAGCAGUGGGGAAUAUUGCACAAUGGGGGAAACCCUGAUGCAGCGACGCCGCGUGAAGGAAGAAGUAUCUCGGUAUGUAAACUUCUAUCAGCAGGGAAGAUAGUGACGGUACCUGACUAAGAAG
This 461-nucleotide ribosomal RNA is filed under the name uncultured bacterium. RNAcentral's name for it is "bacterial SSU rRNA". It matches the Rfam family "Bacterial small subunit ribosomal RNA", at positions 28 to 490 of the family's 1533-position model. The record is from RNAcentral.